Molecule: ribosomal RNA, 654 nt
Filed under: Celeribacter halophilus
Lineage: Bacteria; Pseudomonadati; Pseudomonadota; Alphaproteobacteria; Rhodobacterales; Roseobacteraceae
Description: bacterial SSU rRNA
Rfam family: Bacterial small subunit ribosomal RNA
Source: RNAcentral
UCGGGUUUAGCGGCGGACGGGUUAGUAACGCGUGGGAACGUACCCUUCACUACGGAAUAGUCCCGGGAAACUGGGUUUAAUACCGUAUACGCCCUUCGGGGGAAAGAAUUUCGGUGAGGGAUCGGCCCGCGUUAGAUUAGGUAGUUGGUGGGGUAAUGGCCUACCAAGCCUACGAUCUAUAGCUGGUUUGAGAGGAUGAUCAGCAACACUGGGACUGAGACACGGCCCAGACUCCUACGGGAGGCAGCAGUGGGGAAUCUUAGACAAUGGGGGCAACCCUGAUCUAGCCAUGCCGCGUGAGUGAUGAAGGCCUUAGGGUCGUAAAGCUCUUUCGCCUGUGAAGAUAAUGACGGUAGCAGGUAAAGAAACCCCGGCUAACUCCGUGCCAGCAGCCGCGGUAAUACGGAGGGGGUUAGCGUUGUUCGGAAUUACUGGGCGUAAAGCGCACGUAGGCGGAUUAGUCAGUCAGAGGUGAAAUCCCAGGGCUCAACCCUGGAACUGCCUUUGAUACUGCUAGUCUUGAGUUCGAGAGAGGUAAGUGGAAUUCCGAGUGUAGAGGUGAAAUUCGUAGAUAUUCGGAGGAACACCAGUGGCGAAGGCGGCUUACUGGCUCGAUACUGACGCUGAGGUGCGAAAGUGUGGGGAGCAAACAGG